GACGAACGCUGGCGGCGUGCUUAACACAUGCAAGUCGAACGGAAAGGCCCUGCUUUUGUGGGGUGCUCGAGUGGCGAACGGGUGAGUAACACGUGAGUAACCUGCCCUUGACUUUGGGAUAACUUCAGGAAACUGGGGCUAAUACCGGAUAGGAGCUCCUGCUGCAUGGUGGGGGUUGGAAAGUUUCGGCGGUUGGGGAUGGACUCGCGGCUUAUCAGCUUGUUGGUGGGGUAGUGGCUUACCAAGGCUUUGACGGGUAGCCGGCCUGAGAGGGCGACCGGCCACAUUGGGACUGGGAUACGGCCCAGACUCCUACGGGGGGCAGCGGUGGGGAAUAUUGCACAAGGGGCGGAAGCCUGAUGCAGCAACGCCGCGUGCGGGAGGACGGCCUUCGGGUGGAAAACCGCUUUCGCCUGUGACGAAGCGUGAGUGACGGUAAUGGGUAAAGAAGCACCGGCUAACUACGG
RNAcentral lists this ribosomal RNA (467 nucleotides) under uncultured bacterium. RNAcentral's name for it is "partial 16S ribosomal RNA". It matches the Rfam family "Bacterial small subunit ribosomal RNA", at positions 28 to 506 of the family's 1533-position model. The record is from RNAcentral.